Molecule: ribosomal RNA, 569 nt
Filed under: Clonostachys sp. O_2_BESC_883d
Lineage: Eukaryota; Fungi; Ascomycota; Sordariomycetes; Hypocreales; Bionectriaceae
Description: eukaryotic LSU rRNA
Rfam family: Eukaryotic large subunit ribosomal RNA
Source: RNAcentral
ACCUCAGAUCAGGUAGGAAUACCCGCUGAACUUAAGCAUAUCAAUAAGCGGAGGAAAAGAAACCAACAGGGAUUGCCCUAGUAACGGCGAGUGAAGCGGCAACAGCUCAAAUUUGAAAUCUGGCGCAAGCCCGAGUUGUAAUUUGUAGAGGAUGUUUCUGGCGACGUGCCUUCCGAGUUCCCUGGAACGGGACGCCAUAGAGGGUGAGAGCCCCGUACGGUUGGAUGCCUAGCCUCUGUGAAACUCCUUCGACGAGUCGAGUAGUUUGGGAAUGCUGCUCUAAAUGGGAGGUAUACGUCUUCUAAAGCUAAAUACCGGCCAGAGACCGAUAGCGCACAAGUAGAGUGAUCGAAAGAUGAAAAGCACUUUGAAAAGAGGGUUAAAAAGUACGUGAAAUUGUUGAAAGGGAAGCGUUCAUGACCAGACUUGGGCAGGUUGAUCAUCCGUGGUUCUCCGCGGUGCACUCUGCCUGCCCAGGCCAGCAUCAGUUCGCCCCGGGGGAUAAAGGCUUUGGGAAUGUGGCUCCCUCGGGAGUGUUAUAGCCCACUGUGUAAUACCCUGGGGNGGAC